UUUAUAACAAAAAAACUACAUAAAUAUAUAAAAAAAUAAUCUUUUGCGUUUAACUACGUAAAAAUUUAAGAUAAUUUAAGAGAAAUAUUAAGCUAGGACAUAAAAUCUUUGCAAAAAUCGUGAGAGAGGAAUUCGACUAAUCGAAAACGGUUUACUAAACUCAGGAAAAAUUGAUGCUCAGGGGUAUGAAAUAAUGUACAAAUUAAAUGGGUUACCAUGUAAGGCGAUGCGAAGAGUAAUGAAGAGCAAAAAUUGACCAAAAUAAUAAUUUUUGGGCAUUCAAAUUAUAAUACCACCCAGGAGGCAGCAAAAUGAUGCGUUAUCCAAGUUAGUUUCGCCCAGUUAGUUAUUUAUGUAUAUAAAAAAGAAACAAAACGAUAACAAUUCAUUAACAUAUACAUAUGACUAGAAAACAAAAAGACAACAAUUCAUUUGACAAAGCUAUAAAAAUAUCACAGAUAUAAUAUAUGUAUAUACAU
Bactrocera dorsalis (oriental fruit fly) is the source of this 479-nucleotide long non-coding RNA. RefSeq lists it as uncharacterized. The transcript has 2 exons. The record is from RefSeq and is a predicted model, not a curated record. NCBI's taxonomy places the organism in Eukaryota, Metazoa, Arthropoda, Insecta, Diptera, Tephritidae.